CAGACGUAGCAAGAUGAUCUCUCAGGUUCAGCUUAUCUGGCUGUUAGUGCUCUGGAUCCAAGACUCCAGUGGACAGAUUGUGCUGACUCAGACUCCAGAAUCCCUGGCAGUGUCUCCUGGAGACACAGUCACUAUCCACUGCAAAGCCAGUUCAAGUCUCACCAGUGGUAGCUAUCACUUACUAGCCUGGUACCAACAGAAAUCAGGACAAGCUCCAAAGCGCCUUAUCUAUGAUGCUUCCAACCGUGGCUCUGGGAUCCCAGAUCGGUUCAGUGGCAGUGGCUCUGGCACUGAUUACACCCUCACAAUCAGCAGAGUUGAAGCUGAAGAUGCUGGAGAUUACUACUGUCAGCAGUAUCGCAGCUACCCUCUCACAGUGACUCUAGGUAUGAACACCCAGAACCCUGAUGGCCUGUCCAUGAAUGUGCUGCAGGAUCCAAGCUACAGAUGGGUCAAAGUUGCAUAUUCCAAUGGGCAGAUUGUGAUGACUCAGACUCCAGAAUCCCUGGCAGUGUCUCCUGGAGACACAGCCACUAUCCGCUGCAAAGCCAGUGCCAGAGUUUAUAGCAAUGUGGCCUGGUACCAACAGAAAUCAGGACAAGCUCCUAAGCUCCUUAUCCACAAUGCUUCCACCCGUCCCUCUGGAAUCCCAGAUCGGUUCAGUGGCAGUGGGUCUGGCUCCGACUUCACUUUUACAAUUAGCCGGGUUGAGGUGGAUGAUGCUUGA
Gopherus flavomarginatus (Mexican gopher tortoise) is the source of this 727-nucleotide non-coding RNA. The record is from the annotation of a RefSeq genome assembly. NCBI's taxonomy places the organism in Eukaryota, Metazoa, Chordata, Testudines, Testudinidae.